AGCGAACGCUGGCGGCAGGCCUAACACAUGCAAGUCGAACGAACUCUUCGGAGUUAGUUGCGGACGGGUGAGUAACACGUGGGAACGUUCCUUUUGGUUCGGAAUAACUCAGGGAAACUUGUGCUAAUACCGAAUGUGCCCUUCUGGGGAAAGAUUUAUCGCCAUUAGAGCGGCCCGCGUCUGAUUAGCUAGUUGGUGAGGUAACGGCUCACCAAGGCUACGAUCAGUAGCUGGUCUGAGAGGAUGACCAGCCACACUGGGACUGAGACACGGCCCAGACUCCUACGGGAGGCAGCAGUGGGGAAUCUUGCGAAAUGGGCGAAAGCAUGAAGCAGCCAUGCCGCGUGAAUGAUGAAGGUCUUAGGAUUGUAAAAUUCUUUCACCGGGGACGAUAAUGACGGUACCCGGAGAAGAAGCCCCGGCUAACUUCGUG
RNAcentral lists this ribosomal RNA (433 nucleotides) under uncultured bacterium. RNAcentral describes it as "partial 16S ribosomal RNA". It matches the Rfam family "Bacterial small subunit ribosomal RNA", at positions 29 to 507 of the family's 1533-position model. The record is from RNAcentral.